ACUCGAGUGGCGAACGGGUGAGUAACACGUGGGUGAUCUGCCCUGCACUUCGGGAUAAGCUUGGGAAACUGGGUCUAAUACCGGAUAGGAGCCAUCUUUAGUGUGGUGGUUGGAAAGUUUUUUCGGUGUAGGAUGAGCUCGCGGCCUAUCAGCUUGUUGGUGGGGUAAUGGCCUACCAAGGCGGCGACGGGUAGCCGGCCUGAGAGGGUGUACGGCCACAUUGGGACUGAGAUACGGCCCAGACUCCUACGGGAGGCAGCAGUGGGGAAUAUUGCACAGUGGGCGCAAGCCUGAUGCAGCGACGCCGCGUGGGGGAUGAAGGCCUUCGGGUUGUAAACUCCUUUCGCUAGGGACGAAGCUUUGUUGUGACGGUACCUAGAUAAGAAGCACCGGCUAACUACGUGCCAGCAGCCGCGGUAAUACGUAGGGUGCGAGCGUUGUCCGGAAUUACUGGGCGUAAAGGGCUCGUAGGUGGUUUGUCGCGUCGUCUGUGAAAUUCUGGGGCUUAACUCCGGGCGUGCAGGCGAUACGGGCAUAACUUGAGUGCUGUAGGGGUAACUGGAAUUCCUGGUGUAGCGGUGAAAUGCGCAGAUAUCAGGAGGAACACCGAUGGCGAAGGCAGGUUACUGGGCAGUUACUGACGCUGAGGAGCGAAAGCAUGGGUAGCGAACAGGAUUA
This 678-nucleotide ribosomal RNA is filed under the name uncultured Actinomycetales bacterium. RNAcentral's name for it is "bacterial SSU rRNA". It matches the Rfam family "Bacterial small subunit ribosomal RNA", at positions 89 to 780 of the family's 1533-position model. Lineage: Bacteria; Bacillati; Actinomycetota; Actinomycetes; Actinomycetales. The record is from RNAcentral.